CGCGGGAGCGCAACUGACGCUGAAGCUCGAAAGUGCGGGUAUCGAACAGGAUUAGAUACCCUGGUAGUCCGCACGGUAAACGAUGGAUGCCCGCUUUUCGGUCAUUAGACCGUGAGGCCAAGUGAAAACAUUAAGCAUCCCACCUGGGGAGUACGCCGGCAACGGUGAAACUCAAAGGAAUUGACGGGGGCCCGCACAAGCGGAGGAACAUGUGGUUUAAUUCGAUGAUACGCGAGGAACCUUACCCGGGCUUGAAUUGCAGAUGAAGGAUCCAGAGAUGGUGACGCCCUUCGGGGCAUCUGUGAAGGUGCUGCAUGGUUGUCGUCAGCUCGUGCCGUGAGGUGUCGGCUCAAGUGCCAUAACGAGCGCAACCCCUCUCUUCAGUUGCCAUCAGGCUAUGCUGGGCACUCUGGAGACACUGCCACCGCAAGGUGUGAGGAAGGUGGGGAUGACGUCAAAUCAGCACGGCCUUUACGUCCGGGGCUACACACGUGUUACAAUGGGGGGUACAGAAAGCCGGCUGCCCGCAAGGUCAGUCCAAUCAAGAAAGCCCUCCUCAGUUCGGACUGGGGUCUGCAACCCGACCCCACGAAGCUGGAUC
Molecule: ribosomal RNA, 601 nt
Filed under: uncultured bacterium
Lineage: Bacteria
Description: bacterial SSU rRNA
Rfam family: Bacterial small subunit ribosomal RNA
Source: RNAcentral